This 253-nucleotide ribosomal RNA is filed under the name uncultured bacterium. RNAcentral describes it as "partial 16S ribosomal RNA". It matches the Rfam family "Bacterial small subunit ribosomal RNA", at positions 524 to 776 of the family's 1533-position model. The record is from RNAcentral.
UACGUAGGGUGCAAGCGUUGUCCGGAAUUAUUGGGCGUAAAGAGCUCGUAGGUGGCCUGUCGCGUCUGUUGUGAAAGCCCUGGGCUCAACCUGGGAACUGCAGUGGAAACUGGACAACUAGAGUGUGGUAGAGGGUAGCGGAAUUCCCGGUGUAGAGGUGAAAUUCGUAGAUAUCGGGAGGAACACCGGUGGCGAAGGCGGCGAUCUGGGUCGAUACUGACGCUGAGGUGCGAAAGCGUGGGGAGCAAACAGG